This 497-nucleotide ribosomal RNA is filed under the name uncultured bacterium. Its description in RNAcentral is "partial 16S ribosomal RNA". It matches the Rfam family "Bacterial small subunit ribosomal RNA", at positions 28 to 507 of the family's 1533-position model. The record is from RNAcentral.
GAUGAACGCUGGCGGCGUGCCUAAUACAUGCAAGUCGAGCGAACAGACGCGGUGCUUGCUCCUCUGACGUUAGCGGCGGACGGGUGAGUAACACGUGGAUAACCUACCUAUAAGACUGGGAUAACUUCGGGAAACCGGAGCUAAUACCGGAUAAUAUAUUGAACCGCAUGGUUCAAUAGUGAAAGACGGUUUUGCUGUCACUUAUAGAUGGAUCCGCGCCGCAUUAGCUAGUUGGUAAGGUAACGGCUUACCAAGGCAACGAUGCGUAGCCGACCUGAGAGGGUGAUCGGCCACACGGGAACUGAGACACGGUCCAGACUCCUACGGGAGGCAGCAGUAGGGAAUCUGCCGCAAUGGGCGAAAGCCUGACGGAGCAACGCCGCGUGAGUGAUGAAGGUCUUCGGAGCGUAAAACUCUGUUAUGAGGGAAGAACAAAUGUGUAAGUAACUAUGCACGUCUUGACGGUACCUAAUCAGAGAGGCACGGCUAACUACGUG